UCUAACUGCCAUAGGGAUAAGAAGCCCAGAAACUUCUCCGGAAACAGAGAAAGGAAGUAUCUACUGUAAGGUGAAAAUAAGAAGCCUCUGGAAUGAUAAGAACUGAGUUUGGAGAUUACCAGACACAAUUGCCUCAUGAUUUUGGAUCCUUACGAUAAGUGAAUGAAGAGUUCUACUGCUCCACAUCCUUGCCAGCAAUGUCCAGAUUUCAACCAUUUUAACAGAGGAACAGAGUGAAGCAACCUUUGAGAAGUUUCAUUAAAAGUCAGCGCCAGGCCAUGUGUUCCUAGUGGUCGUGGGAUGGCUAUCUGGAUCCACCUAACAAAAGUCUGAUGGGAAGUGAAGAGAGUUCUUCAUGUUAUCAUCAUCAGCGCUGGAAGUGGGCUUCAGACAUUCUCCUCCACUGUGUGAGAAUGAAGAGCAUCUGUGCAACAAAUGCUAGCGUGGGCUACGCAAGCAAAAAUAGGAUUUCCACUUUGAAAUUUCCUUCCCAGAUAUGUUUGGGGAUGACCAAAGAAAAGGAAGGGGGAAAAUGGACCAAGUCCAUAUGGCUUCCUAACUCAGUAUUUACAGUCUCCCACCAUGAAAAGGUGCGAAGAACAGCAUUAGAAUAGGCAGGUUGAAGUCAUGCUUUCACUAAGAGAUCACAGGACUAUGCACUUGGUUUAAAAUACCGGUACUCUUAGAUCAGAAAGUAAUUUGAAAAAGACAAAUUGGGCCCCUAAAUGUUUUCUGACACAGUAGUUGAGGUUGUCAUUGAAGAAAAAAAGCCCUCACUUGUUGACUCUAUUCAGAUAAUUAGGACAUAGAAUUUUUUUUUCGGUUAUCACAAUCUCUAACUUCCCUAGUCAUACCAAAUAAAUGUAAACUAAAUGAAUGAAAAUGUAGC
Long non-coding RNA from Mesocricetus auratus (golden hamster), 889 nucleotides. RefSeq lists it as uncharacterized. Lineage: Eukaryota; Metazoa; Chordata; Mammalia; Rodentia; Cricetidae. The transcript has 4 exons. The record is from RefSeq and is a predicted model, not a curated record.